RNAcentral lists this ribosomal RNA (440 nucleotides) under uncultured bacterium. RNAcentral describes it as "partial 16S ribosomal RNA". It matches the Rfam family "Bacterial small subunit ribosomal RNA", at positions 338 to 795 of the family's 1533-position model. The record is from RNAcentral.
CCUACGGGAGGCUGCAGUAGGGAAUAUUGCUCAAUGGGGGAAACCCUGAAGCAGCAACGCCGCGUGGAGGAUGAAGGUUUUCGGAUUGUAAACUCCCUUUGUUAGAGAAGAUAAUGACGGUAUCUAACGAAUAAGCACCGGCUAACUCCGUGCCAGCAGCCGCGGUAAUACGGAGGGUGCAAGCGUUACUCGGAAUCACUGGGCGUAAAGCGCGCGUAGGCGGGAUAGCAAGUCAGAUGUGAAAUCCUAUGGCUUAACCAUAGAACUGCAUUUGAAACUGUUAUUGUAGAGUAUGGGAGAGGUAGGUGGAAUUCUUGGUGUAGGGGGAAAAUCCGUAGAGAUCAAGAGGAAUACUCAUUGCGAAGGCGGCCUGCUAGAACAUAACUGACGCUGAUGCGCGAAAGCGUGGGGAGCGAACAGGAUUAGAUACCCGAGUAGUC